RNAcentral lists this ribosomal RNA (253 nucleotides) under uncultured bacterium. Its description in RNAcentral is "partial 16S ribosomal RNA". It matches the Rfam family "Bacterial small subunit ribosomal RNA", at positions 524 to 776 of the family's 1533-position model. The record is from RNAcentral.
UACGUAGGGUGCGAGCGUUCAUCGGAAUUACUGGGCGUAAAGCGUGCGCAGGCGGUUCGUUAAGUCAGCUGUGAAAGCCCCGGGCUCAACCUGGGAAUUGCGGUUGAAACUGGCGAACUAGAAUCUGGCAGAGGGGGGUGGAAUUCCACGUGUAGCAGUGAAAUGCGUAGAGAUGUGGAGGAACACCGAUGGCGAAGGCAGCCCCCUGGGCUGAGAUUGACGCUCAGGCACGAAAGCGUGGGGAGCAAACAGG